UACGUAGGGGGCAAGCGUUGUCCGGAUUUAUUGGGCGUAAAGAGCGUGUAGGCGGUCAGGUAGGUCCGUUGUGAAAACUCGAGGCUCAACCUCGAGACGCCGAUGGAAACCAUCUGACUAGAGUCCGGAAGAGGAGAGUGGAAUUCCUGGUGUAGCGGUGAAAUGCGCAGAUAUCAGGAGGAACACCUAUGGCGAAGGCAGCUCGCUGGGACGGUACUGACGCUGAGACGCGAAAGCGUGGGGAGCGAACAGG
RNAcentral lists this ribosomal RNA (253 nucleotides) under uncultured bacterium. Its description in RNAcentral is "partial 16S ribosomal RNA". It matches the Rfam family "Bacterial small subunit ribosomal RNA", at positions 524 to 776 of the family's 1533-position model. The record is from RNAcentral.